AUCACAUGUAGCAGAUGAGCGGGAAUUGCACCAUUAGUCAGUUAUAAGAUAUAUAUAUAUAUACUUUACGAAAUUUUCAAACAUGAGUGAGUGUCAGGAGGAGAAGGGUUGGAAUGAUGAUUAUUGCGGGCAGGAUGACAGAAUCGAGUUGGGCGAACCAACUCAGUCCUCCCCGUCUGCCUGCGCGUGUUCAAGGACAGAAAGGGGCAUUGGGAAACCAGGCGAUGGUUGGCUUAAACUUUUGAUUGAUCGGAUGAGUGGUGGAGGAAAGAAAUAAAGAUGGAGUUUCUUGGCCAAAGAUCUGGACUCAGCUUUGCUAUCCGUCUGUCCUGCUUCUGAUCUGCAUUGUAUAGAAUUAUCAUCUACCGUCCCAACCAAACCAAAGUAUUCAAAGUGGAAUCAUAAUGUCGUGGUAAAUCAAAGAGGCCUUGUCAGUCGCGUGUUUGUAUUAUCUUACUGGAACUGAGAACAAGUUUCUAUAUUUCAAUGUAGAAUCAAGAGUAAAAAAGGGGUUAAGAAAAUAUCCGCACAGAAGACAUCUUUGUUUUCUUCUUAUUUUCUUUAAGGAAAUAUCAGCUUUAGACAAGGGGACACCAGUGGAGUGGUAUGGGGGGGGGGGGGCUCAGCGCUCUCCAUUAUUCACCGUUUUCAUCCUCAAUAAAUCAAAGUCUCUAUCCUUUCGUUUACCGUUUCUUUUGGGACAUAUAGAAAAUGUAGUAUCCAUCAAAACCGUGAAUUAGUUUUUUUUUUGUCAUUACCCUGUUAAACUUUAAACAGUGUACAGAUAUUUGAUUUAAAUCUUUCGCUGAUGCAAGAUUCUUUUUCAAUUGAUUUUUAUUUGAUUGAAAUUGCCAUUUUGCUGUCUUUACUACUUAUUGUAUAAUAUUUUUCCUUGAAAUUCCGUUGAUUCCGUGAACUACUCAGAAACCAUCAGAAUUGUCUACUUUCAUUAUUUCGAAAUUGGGGACUCUAUAUAGUCGGCAGCCAAAUGGCGUAUUUGGUGCCGCAUAUACGGUACUAAAGACUGAUGCAUUGCAGGUAAUUUUGAAAAAACUUGAAUUUUUUUUUUUUUUUUAAAUGAUCUGUAAUAGUAAAGUGAGUUUUUUUGUUAUAAGCAGUAUAUAUGAUGAUGUCACGAUUAUCUCUUAAAAAACGUUUGAAUUUCAUAAUUAAUUUUGCUAUUAUUUUAACAACGAAACCUACAGUCAGUUAUGAGAACAUCUACACAAUAUUGGCAAGUACAAAAUUGUUCAGUCAAUUUAUCUUAAAGUUUGUUAUGAAAUGUCACUGAAUUGUAUGUAUUAUUUCGAACAUGUACUUGUACUGUUACUUGAUUAUUUUGUUGAACGGAAAUAAAUAAAUCUAAAUCUGAAAAAAAAAAUCCAAAAUCGUCUAAGAAAAAAAUGUGUUGGUACACAGAGACGUCGAUCCUGGGGGAGCAGGGGGGGGGGCGAUCGCCCCCCCCCCCCCAAUGAAAAUUCUUGGGGGCAAACAUAUCAUUUUGCCCCCUAACGAUUCCGAUGUGCAAAAAUAAAAUAAAAUUGUAAGGUUACACAGAAAUCGACGAGCGACGAGCGAGAUACAAAACUCGUUCUUUAUUUAAAUCUUGCUCAUAAUGUCCGCUUUUCAGAUUGGAAUAUAACAAAUUUCAGCUCGCGCUUCGUGCUCGCAUCAUUUCUUUAUAGCAAAACUCCAUACAUUUCAUAAUUAAAUAGGUGAAUAGAAUGUCCCGUUUUCUGAUGUAAACCUCGAAAGAACUCCCACUUCGAUUUGCAAUAAUCGCCCCUGUUGGUACAUUAAAUUUAUCUGUGAUAUUGGACAAUACAAUUGGAAGGGUACCAAUGUUAAUACAAACUUUCAAAUCUAAUUUUGUUUGUAUUUCCAUAUAAAGCACAAAUGUACAUGUUAAAAUUGUCAAUUAAUAUAUUUUUUCAUGUUGUAUUGUAAUCUAUUUUAUUUUUAAUAUUAAUCUUUAUGUACCGUUUAAUAAAUAUGGGUACGUUUACCUAUUUAGCAUUGUUUUAAAUUUGAUUUUGAUCAAAAAAUCAAGGAUAAUACCUCCAUAAUCAUGUUUUAAUGACGUUAACUGGCAGUUGAUUGUAUGAUUUGUCUUCAUCCUUCACUGAUUUCUAAUGUAUUUCACUAUUUUUAAGUAUUUCUAUUUAUUAUGCUGGUGUUAUUUGUUGUUGUUUUCUGGAUUUUCGGUUGAUUGAAUUUUAUCUGUAUGUUGUGUUGUCUCUUUUAUCUUGUAUAUUAUUGUAAUAUGUUUGUAUUUUAACAGGGUUCUCUUAUAAAACAGUUUUGUACUGAAGAAACCACCGUGGGUAAAUAAAACAAAAUAAAUAAAUGAAUAUAUCACUAAUCUAAUGUCACUGUUUGUAAUUGUUGUAGGAUCUAGAUCUCACACCAUCUGUUGGCCAUUUUAAAAUAUCAUCGCACAGAAUAUUUAUCUAGUUAUCAAUAACAAUCAAUAAAACCCGUUGAUUACUUUAGAAUA
Long non-coding RNA from Lytechinus pictus (painted urchin), 2497 nucleotides. RefSeq lists it as uncharacterized. The transcript has 3 exons. Lineage: Eukaryota; Metazoa; Echinodermata; Echinoidea; Temnopleuroida; Toxopneustidae. The record is from RefSeq and is a predicted model, not a curated record.